Molecule: ribosomal RNA, 440 nt
Filed under: uncultured bacterium
Lineage: Bacteria
Description: partial 16S ribosomal RNA
Rfam family: Bacterial small subunit ribosomal RNA
Source: RNAcentral
CCUACGGGAGGCAGCAGUGGGGAAUAUUGCACAAUGGGGGAAACCCUGAUGCAGCGACGCCGCGUGAGUGAAGAAGUAAUUCGUUAUGUAAAGCUCUAUCAGCAGGGAAGAAAAUGACGGUACCUGAGUAAGACGCCCCGGCUAACUCCGUGCCAGCCGCCGCGGUAAUACGUAGGGGGCAAGCGUUAUCCGGAUUUACUGGGUGUAACGGGAGCGUAGACGGCAGUGCAAGUCUGGAGUGAAAGGCGGGGGCUCAACCCCCGGACUGCUCUGGAAACUGUACGGCUGGAGUGCAGGAGAGGUAAGUGGAAUUCCUAGUGUAGCGGUGAAAUGCGUAGAUAUUAGGAGGAACACCAGUGGCGAAGGCGGCUUACUGGACUGUAACUGACGUUGAGGCUCGAAAGCGUGGGGAGCAAACAGGAUUAGAUACCCCUGUAGUC